AUUGAACGCUGGCGGCAGGCCUAACACAUGCAAGUCGGGCGGAUGAAGGGAGCUUGCUCCUGGAUUCAGCGGCGGACGGGUGAGUAAUGCCUAGGAAUCUGCCUGGUAGUGGGGGAUAACGUCCGGAAACGGGCGCUAAUACCGCAUACGUCCUGAGGGAGAAAGUGGGGGAUCUUCGGACCUCACGCUAUCAGAUGAGCCUAGGUCGGAUUAGCUAGUUGGUGGGGUAAAGGCCUACCAAGGCGACGAUCCGUAACUGGUCUGAGAGGAUGAUCAGUCACACUGGAACUGAGACACGGUCCAGACUCCUACGGGAGGCAGCAGUGGGGAAUAUUGGACAAAGGGCGAAAGCCUGAUCCAGCCAUGCCGCGUGUGUGAAGAAGGUCUUCGGAUUGUAAAGCACUUUAAGUUGGGAGGAAGGGCAGUAAGUUAAUACCUUGCUGUUUUGACGUUACCAACAGAAUAAGCACCGGCUAACUUCGUG
RNAcentral lists this ribosomal RNA (484 nucleotides) under uncultured bacterium. RNAcentral describes it as "partial 16S ribosomal RNA". It matches the Rfam family "Bacterial small subunit ribosomal RNA", at positions 30 to 507 of the family's 1533-position model. The record is from RNAcentral.